Molecule: ribosomal RNA, 601 nt
Filed under: uncultured bacterium
Lineage: Bacteria
Description: bacterial SSU rRNA
Rfam family: Bacterial small subunit ribosomal RNA
Source: RNAcentral
CAGUAGGGGUUCUGAGAGGAAGGUCCCCCACAUUGGAACUGAGACACGGUCCAAACUCCUACGGGAGGCAGCAGUGAGGAAUAUUGGUCAAUGGGCGAGAGUCUGAACCAGCCAAGUAGCGUGCAGGAUGACGGCCCUAUGGGUUGUAAACUGCUUUUAUAAGGGAAUAAAGUGAGUCUCGUGAGACUUUUUGCAUGUACCUUAUGAAUAAGGACCGGCUAAUUCCGUGCCAGCAGCCGCGGUAAUACGGAAGGUCCGGGCGUUAUCCGGAUUUAUUGGGUUUAAAGGGAGCGUAGGCCGGAGAUUAAGCGUGUUGUGAAAUGUAGACGCUCAACGUCUGCACUGCAGCGCGAACUGGUUUCCUUGAGUACGCACAAAGUGGGCGGAAUUCGUGGUGUAGCGGUGAAAUGCUUAGAUAUCACGAAGAACUCCGAUUGCGAAGGCAGCUCACUGGAGCGCAACUGACGCUGAAGCUCGAAAGUGCGGGUAUCGAACAGGAUUAGAUACCCUGGUAGUCCGCACGGUAAACGAUGGCAGCCCGCUGUUGGUCUGAAUAGGUCAGCGGCCAAGCGAAAGCAUUAAGCAUCCCACCUGGGGAGUA